RNAcentral lists this ribosomal RNA (1212 nucleotides) under Ornithodoros moubata. RNAcentral's name for it is "16S rRNA". The stretch from base 789 to 1131 matches the Rfam family "Archaeal large subunit ribosomal RNA", at positions 2151 to 2715 of the family's 2987-position model. Lineage: Eukaryota; Metazoa; Arthropoda; Arachnida; Ixodida; Argasidae. The record is from RNAcentral.
AAAAAAAUUAAAUUGUUUUUUAAAUUAAUUAGGCAUUUUAAAUUUGUAAUUGAAAAGAUAUUUUGGUAAACAAUAGUGAAUAGUACUGUGAAGGAAUUUUUAAGGUUUUUUUGAAAGUAAAAAAUUUUGUACCUUUUGUAUUAGGGUUUAGCUAAUAAAUUAAAAGUUUUUGAUAUCCCGAAAAAUCUUGAGCUAUAAAAAAUAGUUUUAAUCAUUUUAAAGAUUAAGAUAAUUUUUUUAUAGAAAUGAAAUUUUAUUCGUAAGAUUGUAUAUCUGGUUAAAUUUUGAAAAUUAGAUAUUUUUUUAUGAGUUGUGUUAUUGAAUAAAUUCAUAGGUUUUAUUUUCUGGGACAAGCUAGGAAAUUAUUUUUAUAUGAAUUUUAGGAUAUUAGUGAAGGUUUAAAAUUUACUUUUUUUGUAAUAAAAAAUUUUAUUUGUGAUUUUUAUAAAAAUUUUAUAUUUUUCAAAAAAUUUUUACUUGUAAGGAUUAAUGUUAUAAUUAGUAUAAUUAAAUAGCUUUAUUAAAGUUAAAUUUAUUGACGGGAAGUUUAAAAGUAAAAAAGAACUCGGCAAAUAGUUUUUUGGAAUGUUUAUCAAAAACAUUGUAUCUUGGGUUUAUAAGAUGUAGAACCUGCUCAAUGAUUGUAUUAAAUUGCUGUGGUAUUAUGACUAUACGAAGGUAUUGAAAUAAGACUUUAAUUGAGUGCUAAGAGAAUGGUUUAACAAAAAUAGGCUUUUUUUUUAUUUAAAAUUGAAGUUAAUUUAAAAACGAAAAAGUUUUUAUGAAAUUUUAGGACAAGAAGACCCUAUGAAUUUUUUUAAAAAGCUUUUUUUUCAGGCUUUUUUAAAAAAAUUUUAGAUAAGUUUUUAAUUAAUUGGGGCGAUUUUUAAAUUUUUAGAAACUUUAAAGAUGUGAUAUUGGACCCAAUAUUAUUGAUAUAUUAAAUAAAAUACUCUAGGGAUAACAGCGUUAUUACUUUGGAUAGUUCAUAUAGAUAAAGUAGAUUGCGACCUCGAUGUUGGAUUAGGAUACCUUUAUUAGUGAAGAAGUUAUAAAAGGAGGUUUGCUCAACCUUUAAAUUCCUACAUGAUCUGAGUUCAGACCGGCGUAACAGGUUGGUUUCUAUCUAAAUUAUGAUAUAAGUUUUUAUAGUACGAAAGGAAUGGAGAACUGAAAAUUUUUUGUUAAGGUUUAUUAGUUGCAAUGUUAGUU